GUCUAUGGCCAUACCACCCUGAACACACCCAAUCUCAUCUGCUCUUAGAGGCUAAGCAGGGUCAGGCCUGGUUAGUACUUAGAUGAAGACUGCCUUGGAAUGCCGGGUGUUGUUGGCU
Loxodonta africana (African savanna elephant) is the source of this 118-nucleotide ribosomal RNA. NCBI's taxonomy places the organism in Eukaryota, Metazoa, Chordata, Mammalia, Proboscidea, Elephantidae. The record is from Ensembl.